RNAcentral lists this ribosomal RNA (500 nucleotides) under Penicillium cf. biourgeianum MU-214. Its description in RNAcentral is "eukaryotic LSU rRNA". It matches the Rfam family "Eukaryotic large subunit ribosomal RNA", at positions 96 to 600 of the family's 3401-position model. Lineage: Eukaryota; Fungi; Ascomycota; Eurotiomycetes; Eurotiales; Aspergillaceae. The record is from RNAcentral.
AAGCGGUAAGAGCUCAAAUUUGAAAGCUGGCUCCUUCGGGGUCCGCAUUGUAAUUUGCAGAGGAUGCUUCGGGAGCGGUCCCCAUCUAAGUGCCCUGGAACGGGACGUCAUAGAGGGUGAGAAUCCCGUAUGGGAUGGGGUGUCCGCGCCCGUGUGAAGCUCCUUCGACGAGUCGAGUUGUUUGGGAAUGCAGCUCUAAAUGGGUGGUAAAUUUCAUCUAAAGCUAAAUAUUGGCCGGAGACCGAUAGCGCACAAGUAGAGUGAUCGAAAGAUGAAAAGCACUUUGAAAAGAGAGUUAAAAAGCACGUGAAAUUGUUGAAAGGGAAGCGCUUGCGACCAGACUCGCUCGCGGGGUUCAGCCGGCAUUCGUGCCGGUGUACUUCCCCGCGAGCGGGCCAACGUCGGUUUGGGCGGUCAGUCAAAGGCCCCUGGAAGGUAACGCCCCCUCGGGGGCGUCUUAUAGCCAGGGGUGCAAUGUGGCCUGCCUGGACCGAGGAACG